AUUAAAAUAUAAUUUUAUAUAAUAAAAAAAAAACUAAUUUUUAUAAAUAUUUAAAAAUUAUUUUUAAAUAUUUAUAAUAUUAUAUAUAUAUAUAUAUUUAUUUAUAAAAUUAAAAAUUAUUGUUUUUUAAUAUAUAGAAUUAAAAAUUAAAGAAAUUUAAAUUUAGUAAUAAUAAAAUUAUUAAUAAAAAUUGUGCCAGCAAUUGCGGUUAAACAAUUAAUAAAAUAAAUAUUUUUAUAAAUAAUUAUUUUUAAUAUUUUAAUUAUAAAAAUUAUAUAUAAUUAAGUAAAAUUUUUAUUAUAAUUAAAUAAAUAUUUUAAUAAUUUAGUAAAAAUUAAAAUAAACUAGGAUUAGAUACCCUAUUAUAAAUUUUAAUUAAAAAUUAUAAAAGAUUAAUAAAUAUAAAAUAAAUAAUAAUGGGUGUAUUUUAAUUUAUAUAGAGGAAUUUGUAGUUUAAUUUGAUAAUCCACGAUUAAUUUUACUUUAUUUAUUUAAUUUAUAUAUCGUUGUUAUAAAAAAUUAAUUUAAUUUAAAAUUUUAAGUUAUUUAAAAAAAUAUUAUUUCAAAUCAUGAUAUAAUUUAUAAUAAAGAAUUAUAUGAAUUAUAAAAAUUUAUUUAUGGAAAUAUAAAAUAAUUUUAUAUCAAAAUAAGAUUUAUAAGUAAUUAAAAAAAUAAUUUUUUAAUGAUUUAAUUUUAAAAUAAGUACAUAUUGCCCGUCACUUUCAUUAUAUGGAAUAAGUCGUAACAAAGUAAAAAUAUUGGAAAAUAUUUUUA
RNAcentral lists this ribosomal RNA (774 nucleotides) under Setodes brevicaudatus. RNAcentral's name for it is "12S ribosomal RNA". The record is from RNAcentral. Lineage: Eukaryota; Metazoa; Arthropoda; Insecta; Trichoptera; Leptoceridae.